AAUGGGCGAAAGCCUGACCCAGCGACGCCGCGUGGGCGAUGAAGGCCUUCGGGUUGUAAAGCCCUGUCAUGCGGAAAGAACGACCCUGUGACGCAUACUCACAGGGAGUGACGGUACCGCAGGAGGAAGCACCGGCUAACUCCGUGCCAGCAGCCGCGGUAAUACGGAGGGUGCAAGCGUUGUUCGGAAUUAUUGGGCGUAAAGGGCGCGUAGGCGGUAAUGUAAGUCAGAUGUGAAAUACUCCGGCUCAACCAGAGAAUUGCAUCUGAAACUACAUAACUAGAGUACAGAAGAGGGAAACGGAAUUCCCGGUGUAGAGGUGAAAUUCGUAGAUAUCGGGAGGAACACCAGUGGCGAAGGCGGUUUCCUGGUCUGAUACUGACGCUGAGGCGCGAAAGUGUGGGGAGCAAA
This 411-nucleotide ribosomal RNA is filed under the name uncultured bacterium. RNAcentral's name for it is "bacterial SSU rRNA". It matches the Rfam family "Bacterial small subunit ribosomal RNA", at positions 370 to 772 of the family's 1533-position model. The record is from RNAcentral.